This 2733-nucleotide unclassified non-coding RNA is filed under the name Hevea brasiliensis (rubber tree). The record is from RNAcentral. Lineage: Eukaryota; Viridiplantae; Streptophyta; Magnoliopsida; Malpighiales; Euphorbiaceae.
CUCAAUUAAAAUAAUUAUUUUUAAUUUGUCAUUAUAUAUAUACAUAUAUGACGCAUUCACCAUCAAUCUUGGUUUAAAAACCAUUCGCAUAAUCCUCUGUUGAAUUACGGCGUAUAUUAGGGGCUGCGGCUGCGGUAGUUGGGGGGCUUGGGGCCAGUGGAGUGAAAAGGGUAAGCAGUAGCUUAAUUUGGAAUUUUGUCCGUAUUAGUUUGGCAUCUAAGCAAAAACCCACCUUCUGGUCCCGUGGAGGAAGAGAGUAUAGAUUGAGAAAGAUAAUGGAAGCAGUAGGCUUGCUUGGAGGAAGUGGACCAUGCGUUUCUGCGUCAUCCACUCUUCGCUCAUCAACACAGAGGAGUUACAGAAGCAGCGGCAAUAGCUUCUCCUACGUUCCCCUCAAGAAGCUUAGCCUAUGCACCAGCCACCUAGCUGCAUUCCAUUCACCAUCCCACCUUUUCUCAUUUUCCCCUUCGCGUCCUUAUCAUGUUAAACCUCGCAAGCCCACCAAAACCCACAUCUUCCUUCCUCAUUUGGUCGCUUCCAUGGAAGUUGAAGAGACCUAUAUCAUGGUCAAGCCUGACGGCGUCCAACGAGGCCUUGUUGGAGAAAUAAUCUCCAGAUUCGAGAAGAAAGGAUUUAAAUUGACUGGCCUGAAGCUCUUCCAAUGCCCUAAAGAAUUGGCAGAGGAACAUUACAAGGAUCUCAAAAGUAGGCCUUUCUUUCCUAAGCUAAUCAAUUACAUCACUUCAGGUCCUGUUGUGUGCAUGGCUUGGGAAGGCGUUGGCGUUGUGGCAUCAGCACGUAAGUUAAUAGGGUCUACAGAUCCUCUGCAAGCUGAACCAGGCACAAUAAGAGGGGAUCUAGCUGUUCAAACAGGAAGGUUAGUCCCUACAAGCUCUGUAAUAAGCUGAUUCGUAUGUCUAUUUGUUUUUUGCUCUAGUGGGUUGCACUUUUCCCCCUUCCAUGUAGCAAUUUUGUUCUUUCUUAUGAUGAAAAUUUCUGCAGGAAUGUGGUCCAUGGCAGUGACAGCCCUGAGAAUGGAAAACGUGAAAUAGGUAACUCCUCUUAUGCUCUAAAUUUACUUUCUUUUGUGUAGCAGAAGUAUUUCUUUUGCAAAUGGUUUUGGUUUCGGAGUCCAGUUAUCUGGUCUUGAGUGGUUGAUCCAAAUGCAGUCUUCUGUGGGUUAUGAUGUACGAGGAAUAGAUCCAUAUUUGGAAUGUUUUCAAGUUGACUACAGAAAAUUCCUUUUGGAAAAAAAGUAUAUAAGAAGCGAAUCUUGAGAACAGUUAACAUAGAAAACACCAUGAGCAAUAUUUAAAAGAGAGAGAAAAAGUUUCUGAGGGGAUAACCCAGAUUGCUAAAACUAGGAAUUCCAACUUAGAGGUCUAAGGUUUUGACUUCUAGGAUGGGGAAUAGGGGUUUCUUUCUUUCUUUCCUUCUUUUCUUUCUGGUACAAGGAAUGAGGAUUUUUGAGAUGGGAGAGUGUAAACUCCCAUUAAAUAGUCUAAAUGCCAGUUUAGCAGUGUGGGUGAGUGGUCUGCUUCAUUUUCAGCUUCUCGAAGACCUGGUUUGGGAAAAGUUUACAUUGUAGCUUUUCCCAAACCAUGGUUCACAUGAAGCAGGUCAGAGAAAAAUUAAAAAAUAAUUAAAAGAAACUGGAAAAGCAGAGGCAGGUGCUCCAAACACGCCGCCAAGCUGGCCCUAAGGCCUGAUGGCCACUUCAUGGAUAAAAAAGUUAAGGGAAAAAACUGUUGGGUUGGGGGGGUCAAGGGGAAGAAGUUUGUUUUAUGGAUUGAAUGCAGCACAUACAUGCUUCAUCUUCGAAGUAAAACAAUCUCACUGCCCGGUGCUUUUUCAUUGACAUUUCUAACAAGGUUGCUGUAAGUACUUUUUGUAACUUAUUUAAGAUCUCAGUUGUAAAAUUGAACACGAACAAUAGACUAGCUUAUGCCCAUAGUGCAAUCUGCUUUCUGUUGCUCUAUCUUGCAUUUGUGUGUGUCUGUUUUACCAAUUAAAGGGACAGUACACAUUGUAGGCAGAUCAAUAUUAUUCACCUUCUCAGUUCACAGUGAACACUUGAACUUUGAUGUGGUGGUGUUGCUUUAAUAUUUUUCUAUUACAAUUUUUGAAGUGAUAGAUAAAGCUCUGAAUAAAAACUCAUCAUCAUUCUUGACCUUUACCUCAGCCCUUCUAAUAAUUAAUGACAUUUGCUUUACUCACAGCACUUUGGUUUAAGGAAGGUGAAUUAUGUCAGUGGUCACCAGCUCAAGCAACUUGGCUAAGGGAGUGAUUUUCACAGAGCACUUCAGUUGGAGAGGCAUGCAGUUUUCAAGAGUUUUCCUCUGAGCAGCUGUAUUUAUUUAUUUUUCUCAAUUUGGAAUAAUUCUGUCUCAGUGCAUGAAGAUUCAAUGUGAAACAUGUGAGAAAAUUCAGAUCAGUUUCUGCUCUUUGCCUGGAAAAUUGUCUUCUUUUGUUCUGAUGCCUUAACACUAGAUUGAGGUAUGGAACUGACCUUAGAUUGUGUUUAGAAAAUAUACCUAGUAGCACCCAAGUUUCUGCUAUUCUGAGGAUUAAUCUUGGCAAUUCAUUAGAUAUUAAAGAAAAUGUCAUAAGCUCAGUUAGGCAGCAUUGUGCCAUUGUCAUUACCAUAUGUAUUGAGGGGGCUUAAGGUUACUUGCUGGCCUAAUUUGGCAUUAACCAUUCCAUGAGUUCUACCCCACCUAAAGGAAUGAUGUG